CCUUGGAAACUGUCUACAAUCAUCGCAUUUUACUUUCUGUAGUAAGUAAAGAAUGCCCAGUUAAGCCAUGGCAACUAAGUUUUAAUUUAUCCGGUGGCCUGUAACGAGAGGUCUGGAGAGAGUUACACGGAUGUGUAAGAACUGCGAAUUAAAACGACUAGAAAAAAUGAAGAAUUUAGCUACAUUACGUAAAAUAAAGCAAGACUUUGUGUACUUAAACUAUUUGCCUAUAGCUACAUUAUAGUGCUGUAGUUAUGUCAUGUAUUCAUUGUUUAAUUUUUGAUGAUGCAAAGAAUAGAAUUAUGAACAAUUCCAA
This is a long non-coding RNA of Xenia sp. Carnegie-2017, 316 nucleotides long. RefSeq lists it as uncharacterized. The record is from RefSeq and is a predicted model, not a curated record. The transcript has 2 exons. Lineage: Eukaryota; Metazoa; Cnidaria; Anthozoa; Malacalcyonacea; Xeniidae.